Molecule: ribosomal RNA, 796 nt
Filed under: Ctenophthalmus sp. F423
Lineage: Eukaryota; Metazoa; Arthropoda; Insecta; Siphonaptera; Ctenophthalmidae
Description: eukaryotic LSU rRNA
Rfam family: Eukaryotic large subunit ribosomal RNA
Source: RNAcentral
GGGAGAUUCAGUGUUGCGAUUGACCGGGAUACGUCUCGUGAUACGCCUUGGUUGCGAGGGCAUGCACUUCUCUCUUAGUAGGACGUCGCGACCCGUUGGGUGUCGGUCUACGACGUAGCCUGUUUCGAAUUGCAGACCCCGCGUGUUCCGGCCGACUGCCCGACGGUAAAGCGUUCGGCCGAUCGCAAGCGUGGACGGUUAUUUCGGCUGUCGGAUCUGAUCUGGCACCGAAGCCGAUCGCGCUGUUGGCGGUCGUGUCCUCGAACAGACUCCACCGGUCAGCGAUGCUAUUGCUUUGGGUACUUUCAGGACCCGUCUUGAAACACGGACCAAGGAGUCUAGCAUGUGCGCAAGUCAUUGGGAAUAACUAAACCUAAAGGCGUAAUGAAAGUAAAGGUUCGCUUAUGCGGACUUAGGGAUGAUAGUCCGUAGACCCGCAAUCCCGGGGCGUCUCACUCUCAUUGCGAGAAGAGGCGCACCUAGAGCGUACACGCUGGGACCCGAAAGAUGGUGAACUAUGCCUGAUCAGGUCGAAGUCAGGGGAAACCCUGAUGGAGGACCGUAGCGAUUCUGACGUGCAAAUCGAUCGUAAAAAUUGGGUAUAGCGGCGAAAGACUAAUCGAACCAUCUAGUAGCUGGUUCCCUCCGAAGUUUCCCUCAGGAUAGCUGGCAUUCGAUGAGCGAGUCUCAUCCGGUAAAGCGAAUGAUUAGAGGCCUUGGGGCCGAAACGACCUCAACCUAUUCUCAAACUUUAAAUGGGUGAGAUCUCUGGCUUGCUUAAAUAGUGAAGCCAGAG